This 468-nucleotide ribosomal RNA is filed under the name uncultured bacterium. RNAcentral describes it as "partial 16S ribosomal RNA". It matches the Rfam family "Bacterial small subunit ribosomal RNA", at positions 28 to 507 of the family's 1533-position model. The record is from RNAcentral.
GACGAACGCUGGCGGCGUGCUUAACACAUGCAAGUCGAACGGAAAGGCCCUGCUUUUGUGGGGUGCUCGAGUGGCGAACGGGUGAGUAACACGUGAGUAUCCUGCCCUUAUCUUUGGGGUAACUUCAGGAAACUCGGGCUAAUACCCGAUAGGAGCUCCUGCUGCAUGGUGGGGGUUGGAAAGUUUCGGCGGUUGGGGAUGGACUCGCGGCUUAUCCGCCUGUUGGUGGGGUUGGGGAUUACCAAGGCUUUGAAGGGUAGCCGGCCUGAGAGGUUGACCGGCCUCAAUGGGACUGAGGUACGGCGCAGUAGCCAACGUGAGGCAGCAGGGGGAAGUAUUACGCAAUGGGCCGGAGCGUGAUGCAGCAGCGCCGCGUGCGGGAUAACGGCCUUCGAGUUGUAAACCGCUUUGUCCUUUGACGAGGCGUGAGUGACGGUAAUUGGUAAAGAAGCACCGGCUAACUACGUG